Molecule: ribosomal RNA, 575 nt
Filed under: uncultured bacterium
Lineage: Bacteria
Description: bacterial SSU rRNA
Rfam family: Bacterial small subunit ribosomal RNA
Source: RNAcentral
GGCAGCAGCUAAGAAUCUUCCGCAAUGGGCGAAAGCCUGACGGAGCGACGCCGCGUGGACGAAGAAUGCCGAGAGGUUGUAAAGUCCUUUUAUAUGUGAAGAAUAAUGUCUGUAGGUAAUGACAGGCAGAUGACGUUAGCAUAUGAAUAAGCUCCGGCCAAUUACGUGCCAGCAGCCGCGGUAACACGUAAGGAGCGAGCGUUGUUCGGAAUUAUUGGGCGUAAAGGGCAUGUAGGCGGUUAUAUAAGUCUGGUGUGAAAGACUACAGCUUAACUGUAGAGACGCACUGGAAACUGUAUGACUUGAAUCUGUGAGGGGUAAUUGGAAUUCCUAGUGUAGGGGUGAAAUCUGUUGAUAUUAGGAAGAACACCGAUGGCGAAGGCAAAUUACUGGCACAUGAUUGACGCUGAGAUGCGAAAGCGUAGGGAGCGAACAGGAUUAGAUACCCUGGUAGUCUACGCUGUAAACGAUGUGCACUUGGUGUCGGGGUUCUAAGCCUCGGUGCCGUAGCUAACGCGUUAAGUGCACCGCCUGGGGAGUAUGCCGGCAACGGUGAAACUCAAAUGAAUUGACGG